GCGUUGAUUGGCCUGAUCUGGCUGGCUAGGUAGGUGACCCCUUCCUCCCUCACCGCUCCAUGUGUACCCUCCUGAAGCUGCACACUGAAUUGAAGAGGAUGGCCAUCCCCAGUAGGGGAGGACCACUUCCUCCAAACACGCUCUCAAAAACAAACAAAAACAGGGUAAGGACAUAGCUCAGUGUU
This 185-nucleotide small RNA is filed under the name Fukomys damarensis (Damara mole-rat). RNAcentral's name for it is "7SK RNA (ENSFDAG00000002018.1)". The stretch from base 1 to 121 matches the Rfam family "7SK RNA", at positions 50 to 171 of the family's 331-position model. From Rfam's summary of the family: 7SK was discovered as an abundant small nuclear RNA in the mid-70s but a possible function has only recently been suggested. Two independent studies have found that 7SK RNA binds the CDK9/cyclin T complex (known as elongation factor P-TEFb). The record is from RNAcentral. Lineage: Eukaryota; Metazoa; Chordata; Mammalia; Rodentia; Bathyergidae.